ACCAGGGCGACAGUGAUGGGCUGGACCUGGGGAAGGCAGGGGGAGGGGAGAAGCGUGUGAUUCUGGACAGGUUUUGAAGGUAGAACUCCAGGAUUUCCGGAUGGAUUGGAUGUGGGUGGUGAGACAAAGAGGGGAGUCAAGGGUGACCCCAAGCGUUUUGGCCUGAGCACAGGCGGGAGGCGACAUGAUUGAGCUCUAAGGGGCACGUGGGAGUGUGUCCCCGAAAGACUGCGGGGAGGCUGCGCACUCGGACCCCGUAUUCCAAGAAGUCUGCCGCAAGGGGGCAGAGAGGCCGGCCCGAGCUGGGGGCCCUCGGGGCCAGGCGACGAGACAGGCACCGGGCAGGGCUGGGACAAUCCAGACAGAAGGAAAACGGGGCCCGGCCCACCCCCCACGGACCAAGGCAUCUCACCGACACUGCUGGACAGGGUCAGAGGGCACACACAGUCUGGCUCC
Manis javanica (Malayan pangolin) is the source of this 456-nucleotide long non-coding RNA. RefSeq lists it as uncharacterized. Lineage: Eukaryota; Metazoa; Chordata; Mammalia; Pholidota; Manidae. The record is from RefSeq and is a predicted model, not a curated record.